Molecule: long non-coding RNA, 259 nt
Filed under: Elaeis guineensis (African oil palm)
Lineage: Eukaryota; Viridiplantae; Streptophyta; Magnoliopsida; Arecales; Arecaceae
Description: long non-coding RNA (EGUI_LNC027016)
Source: RNAcentral
UAUAUUACUUUAGAAUGCACUCAUCUGGACUACAGGAAGUUCAGUUUUUCAACAAUCGUUCGACACUCUGUGGAACAUCAGAACCUGAAAGGCUUCGACUUAUUCUUCUCUCCUUUCUCAGAUAUCAAUGUGAAAAAUUAUAUCUUUUUGUGGGGAUAAAAGAUGGGGGAAUCAUUCCCCUGAUGGGACACCUCCAUACAUUUUAUUCUCCCAUUCAUCUCUCUCAUCGAUACAUUAUCUAAAUUAUGUACAUACUCUC